GGCCUCGUAGCUCAGCUGGUAGAGCAUGCGCGUACAAAGCGUAGGUAGGCGUCCAUGCGUGAGUUCGAAUCCCACCGAGGCUC
This 83-nucleotide transfer RNA is filed under the name Echinostoma caproni. It matches the Rfam family "tRNA". Rfam says of the family: Transfer RNA (tRNA) molecules are approximately 80 nucleotides in length. Lineage: Eukaryota; Metazoa; Platyhelminthes; Trematoda; Plagiorchiida; Echinostomatidae. The record is from Rfam by way of RNAcentral.